CCUCCCUUCCAUUCAUUUCCCACAUUACGUAAUUCACCUUUCUCUUCUUCCAUCUUUCUCUUUUUCUAUCUUUGGUUCUUUAUUUCUUUCUCCAUUGUUCUUGAUUUAAUUCUUCUGGUUAAUCUUUUUCUUGUGAAGGGGGCGAGACGGGGUUCUGCUACAGCAGAAUGGCGCCGCGUCUCUUCGCCUGCUUUGGCAAGUGCAACUAUUCCUCCUCCUCCGGGAACCAAGUGCAUGGAAAGGGGAAAAGCAACGUGACGGUGGAUGCUUCAGCGGAGGAGCAGCGGCGUGCAGGUGCUAUUAUGGUGGAGCUAUUCUCUUCACAGGGGUGUGCGACGUCGCCGGAGGCUGAAUUAUUGGUGUCAAGGUUAGGGAGAGGAGACUUUGCCCUGGAAACGCCGGUGAUAGUGUUGGCAUUUCAUGUAGAUUAUUGGGACUAUAUGGGGUGGAAGGACCCUUUUGGCUCUAGCCAAUGGACUGUAAGGCAAAAGGCUUACGUUGAGGCAUUGAAGCUUGACACUAUGUUUACACCACAGGUAGUUAUCCAGGGUAGGACUCAGUUUGUGGCCAAUGAGGAGGAGGCUCUUUUGUCUUCCAUCAUGAGUGCCCC
Molecule: unclassified non-coding RNA, 610 nt
Filed under: Hevea brasiliensis (rubber tree)
Lineage: Eukaryota; Viridiplantae; Streptophyta; Magnoliopsida; Malpighiales; Euphorbiaceae
Source: RNAcentral